RNAcentral lists this ribosomal RNA (450 nucleotides) under uncultured bacterium. Its description in RNAcentral is "bacterial SSU rRNA". It matches the Rfam family "Bacterial small subunit ribosomal RNA", at positions 29 to 526 of the family's 1533-position model. The record is from RNAcentral.
AACGAACGCUGGCGGCAGGCUUAACACAUGCAAGUCGAACGCUCCGCAAGGAGAGUGGCAGACGGGUGAGUAACACGUGGGAACGUACCCUUUACUACGGAACAACUCCGGGAAACUGGAGCUAAUACCGUAUGUGCCCUUCGGGGGAAAGAUUUAUCGGUAAAGGAUCGGCCCGCGUUGGAUUAGCUAGUUGGUGGGGUAAAGGCCUACCAAGGCGACGAUCCAUAGCUGGUCUGAGAGGAUGAUCAGCCACAUUGGGACUGAGACACGGCCCAAACUCCUACGGGAGGCAGCAGUGGGGAAUAUUGGACAAUGGGCGCAAGCCUGAUCCAGCCAUGCCGCGUGUGUGAUGAAGGCCUUAGGGUUGUAAAGCACUUUCACCGGGGAAGAUAAUGACGGUACCAGCAGAAGAAGCCCCGGCUAACUCCGUGCCAGCAGCCGCGGUAAAAC